AACGCACCUUGCGCUCCCUGGCAUUCCGGGGAGCAUGCCUGUUUGAGAAUCGAUACUACCUCCUCUCCCUCCGCGUGUGUGUUACCCUCUGCACCUCUCGUGGUGCGUGGUGCUGCUGCGCGUGGCGGGGUAGGGACUUGGGCCAAUACCUGUGUAUACAUGUACGCCUUGUGCAUGUGCCGGGGGGGUGCCUGAAAAGUAUUGGUGGGAUUACCAUGCCCACGUCGACUUGUCAUGGCCUAGUGAAGUGAUGCGCACACGACCCACACCACCAUACCCCUUUUGGGGGCGACGGCGGGAAGCAGCAUGCAUGCCCGCGCCCCUGGAACUUGGUCUCAAAUCAGGUAGGAAGACCCGCUGAACUUAA
This 367-nucleotide unclassified non-coding RNA is filed under the name uncultured fungus. RNAcentral's name for it is "partial contains ITS1, 5.8S rRNA and ITS2". Lineage: Eukaryota; Fungi. The record is from RNAcentral.